UGGGGAAUUUUCCGCAAUGGGCGCAAGCCUGACGGAGCAAUACCGCGUGAGGGAUGAAGGCCCUUGGGUUGUAAACCUCUUUUAUCAAGGAGGAAGUUCUGACGUGUACUUGAUGAAUAAGCAUCGGCUAACUCCGUGCCAGCAGCCGCGGUAAGACGGCGGAUGCAAGAGUUAUCAGGAAUCACUGUGCGUAAAGCGUCUGUAGGCGGUUCGAAAAGUCCACAGUUACAAAUCGAGGCUUACCCUCAA
RNAcentral lists this ribosomal RNA (249 nucleotides) under uncultured bacterium. RNAcentral's name for it is "partial 16S ribosomal RNA". It matches the Rfam family "Bacterial small subunit ribosomal RNA", at positions 355 to 618 of the family's 1533-position model. The record is from RNAcentral.